CCUACGGGUGGCAGCAGUGGGGAAUAUUGCACAAUGGGGGAAACCCUGAUGCAGCGACGCCGCGUGAGUGAAGAAGGUAUUCGGUAUGUAAAGCUCUUUCAGCAGGGAAGAAAAGUACCGUUCCUGAGCAAGAAGCCCCGGCCAAUUACGUGCCAGCAGGCACGGUCAGACGUCGGGGGCAAGCGGUAGCCGGUAUGUCUGGGUGGAAAGUGAGCGUAGGCGGCAUGGCAAGUCUCGAGGGAAAGGCGGGGGCCCAACCUCCGGACUGCUCUUGAAACUGUACGGCUGGAGUGCAGGAGAGGUAAGUGGAAUUCCUGGUGUAGCGGUGAAAUGCGUAGAUAUUAGGAGGAACACCAGUGGCGAAGGCGACUUACUGGACUAUAACUGACGUUGAGGCGCGAAAGCGUGGGGAGCAAACAGGAUUAGAUACCCCAGUAGUC
This 440-nucleotide ribosomal RNA is filed under the name uncultured bacterium. RNAcentral describes it as "partial 16S ribosomal RNA". It matches the Rfam family "Bacterial small subunit ribosomal RNA", at positions 338 to 795 of the family's 1533-position model. The record is from RNAcentral.